This is a long non-coding RNA of Pogona vitticeps (central bearded dragon), 2297 nucleotides long. Ensembl annotates it as axoneme-associated protein mst101(2)-like. The record is from Ensembl. Lineage: Eukaryota; Metazoa; Chordata; Lepidosauria; Squamata; Agamidae.
AUAUCAGCAAAUUGCAAGUCCUUUUCUGCCAUCUCGUGGCCAGGCCAAGAAAUUCGACAAUGAACUUGUCUAAAUGUCUUAUCAAGAAAAUGCACUGUUUACAGAGACCAGAUAAUGCUUCUCUAUCCCAAUAUGUGUUGCUUGCCAUCAUACACUCAACACCACACCUUACCUAUCUCCAGUUCCCCCAAAGCCUUUAUGGGAUGUCAUGAAAGUUUAAUAAAAUAGAUUUAGGUCGGUGACAUAGAUAACACUCCCUGGGUUUGCCAUUGAGUGAGGUCUGAUUCAUGGCUCGGUCUUCUAGGUGUUCUAGAAUUUUGGAGAACAUCAGUCAUUGUGAAGUAACAGGAGGGUGUGAAGUGAAAUCAAAGCGACCAACCCAAGGGGCCGCAAGAAGAAUCCCAUAUUUCAGGCAGAGAAAAGUAGCUUCAGAAUUAGAAAGGCUCUUGUUCACUUCUGGGUCUCUUGAACUCCUGCCUCUACCUUCAGCCAUAAAGUAUCUGUACUAUUCUGAUAAUGGACCAAUUCAUCCCGUCCCUCUUUAUCAUUCUCUCUGUGGAAAUCUCAUGCUGUCUUCGAGAUGCGCUUUCAGCUCCCAUCAAAAUGUACAAAGAGUUUCAGAAGGCUGGAUCGGGUUCUUCCACAGAAGAAUCCUACGCUGCGAUGAUUGUGCCAUUAUUUGUGGAGAACAUGGUCAGAAACAUCCCCGGCAAGAUGAGAUUCACUCAGGCACAUGCUCUCUUCAAGAGAACUAUCAAAUGGAAUAAAGUGAUCCCGAACCGGCCUGCCCUGGCGAAGAUUGUCGUAGAAGGAUCCAUAGCUUUCAUCUUUGCUGUUCUAAUCGGGAUCGUACUGUGGUGCGUGCUGUAUUCAAAAGGGGAAAAAAUUAAGCAUUUGGGCCCUCGCCUCAAGCCCGUGGUAAAAAAAAACUUCUUUCUGAGACAAAUUAAGAAGCAGAAGGAAGCCGGCAUAAAGAAGCUGAUGAAAAAAAAGCAGCUUGAGAAAAGCCUCAUUGAGACAGAGAAGGAGGAAGAAUGGAAGCAAGCACAUGAGCUGGGAAAGGAAAAGGAGGAAGAUUCUGAGGAAUCUGAUGAGGAAGAAGAAUCAGUUGUGGAAGAGAAAGGGAAGAAGAAGAAGAAGAAAGGGAAAAGGCAUGCAAUAAAAAAGAAAUUGGCCAAGGUUAAGAAGGCUGCAAAAUCAGAGAUGGUCCAAAAGCAUGUUGGCAAAAUCAAGAAGGUGGCAAAAUCCAAGGCUGUUAAGAAGCAUGUUGGCAGAAUCAAGAAGGUGGCAAAAUCAAAAACUGUUCGAAAACAUGUUGGCAGAAUCAAGAAGGCAGCGAAAUCCAAGGCUGUUAAGAAGCAUGUUGGCAGAAUCAAGAAGAUGGCAAAAUCAAAAGCUGUUCAAAAGCAUGUUGGGAAAAUUAAGAAGGCCGCAAAAUCAGGAUACACUGGUAAAAUUAAGAAGGAGGGGAAACCAGAGGCUGCUCAAAAGCCUGCUGGGAAAAGCAAAAAGGCAGCCAAAUCCGAGUCAGAGGAAGAAGCAAAAUCAACUUCUGAUAGGGAAAGUAAGAAGCCAAGAAAGAAAAAGGAGAAAGAAAUGGAGAUGAUUAUGGUGAAGGAAGAUGAUAAGAGGACUCACGGGAAAAAGAAGGAACUCGGGAAGGCAAAAUUAGAAGACACUGACUCUAAAGAAAAGAAGAAGAGCCAGAAGAAAAGGGAACGAAGCCCACAAAGAAAAGCAAAACACAAGAAGAAGAGGCGACGAGAAUUGGAGGAGUCUGAGGACACUGAUUAGCAGAGAGGAAGGAUGGAACUGGAUCAGGAAAGGGACUCUGGAGAGGAGGUAGUGCCAUCCGAGGUGGAAAAGAGACUCGUUGAAUGCAUAUACUUUUAGGGCUUACGGUUAGCCUGGUGACUGGUGUGAAGAAAAGAGAGGUGAUUUUCCAAGCCUUUUCUCUCCUCUUGGUAAGAAUGCUCUCCUGCCCCCUAGUGUUAAGAUUUAAUACAACAUGUUGAAAUGGGCAUCAAAUAUCGCUGUCUGUACCUUAUCGUUUUGAAAUGGGGAAGGGGGAUCUCUUUUCAAUAGUGAGAGGCAUGGCUUCUCCAGGAAACGUGACUGUUUUUCAGAGCACCUCGAGGUUUCCAUAGCUUCGCCUUGAAUUUCUGCACCUACAGGGGAAAAAAGCUAACUUAAAUUAAAACAAGUUGCAACAAAGAAUAACAAGAUGAUGGGUCGCAUACCCCAAAAGCAGUCGAGAAGGAACACUAGGUGGUCAAUCCGUGUACAUUCCCAUGGCA